Long non-coding RNA from Penaeus monodon (black tiger shrimp), 1072 nucleotides. RefSeq lists it as uncharacterized. The record is from RefSeq and is a predicted model, not a curated record. The transcript has 2 exons. NCBI's taxonomy places the organism in Eukaryota, Metazoa, Arthropoda, Malacostraca, Decapoda, Penaeidae.
GGCGGGCGGGCAGGCGGGCGGAGCAAGCUCGUCGGGCGCCCGUCUCUUAUGCAUGAGUAGCUGGAAGGAAGGAAGGAAUUCUAUAGCCGAGCGAGUGCCACGGUGCGAAGAGAGGGAAAGUGAGAGCGCGAACGGCCCGCCAGGCGCAGACCCGAGAGCGACCGCCGCCGCCGCCGCGCCAGCAGAGCGAGGAUCUGCAGCGGGCGACGGUGCAGGUCGAGCGCCAGGAGGAAUGGCCUCCGGAGCCAGCGGAGAGGCGGCGCUCGACGCGACGGCCAGGCCGUGGGCGGAGCCGAGGGGAGCCGCGUCUGUGCUCGCGCAAGAAUUCAGGCUCAGAAGCUCAACCAAACCCCGUCUAUUCUCAAAUUGUCAUACGUGUUCGGGUAGGAAGACCAACAAACAGCGUGGAUCUCGUUUUUUUGUACAAAUCGAAAAUCAAAGUUUGUUAUAGGAACCCUUCGUGACCUGUGAUUAAAACAUAUCUUUACUCGUACAAUACUUUUUUAAUGUUUAGAGAGAAAUAAAGAUUACCUUCCCCUGUCACACAACACACGCACCCCGUCACCCCAAAUUCAACAGGCAGACAAGACAACAAGGUAAAUAAAUACCAAACAAGUAUCUGUUGAAUUGUUUAUUUUAGAAUUAGAUGUUUUAGAUUCUAGAAGAAAAAGCCAGCGAGUUGCCUCGUCCUAUUUUCACUUUAGUGGUCCAAGCGAGAGAAGAGAAGAGAGAGAGAUAACCGAUGAGAUACUCAAAAACUGAUAAAUGAAAUCUGAAUAAAGUCUUCAGUCGAUUAGUGUAAGAACAAAAAAAAAUGAAGAGAAGAAGAAAGAAGCACGGAAUGUAAACGGAAAAAGGAAGAAAGACUUGACAUCAAAGAAAGUGUGAAACGGAAUCCUGAAACUAAAGAGAUGGAAACGUAAGUGUAAAGAAAGCGGAUAAGAAAAGUGUAUAUUUUUCUUCAAAAAAUGUGUUGAGUAAUAUAUAUUUUGUCUCGUGCCCUGUUCCUCUUUCGAAACCUUUGGAAUAUUUGUCCCUUUUGAAAUAUUUGAAAUAUAGAAAUCAAAACAAA